This 370-nucleotide ribosomal RNA is filed under the name Acinetobacter baumannii. RNAcentral describes it as "partial 23S ribosomal RNA". It matches the Rfam family "Bacterial large subunit ribosomal RNA", at positions 1130 to 1491 of the family's 2925-position model. The record is from RNAcentral. Lineage: Bacteria; Pseudomonadati; Pseudomonadota; Gammaproteobacteria; Moraxellales; Moraxellaceae.
AAGCGUAAUAGCUCACUGAUCGAGUCGUCCUGCGCGGAAGAUGUAACGGGGCUAAGCCAGUCACCGAAGCUGCGGAUAUUUUUCUCUUUGCUUGCAUCGAGAUCAAUAUGGUAGGAGAGCGUUCUGUAAGCCUGCGAAGGUGUCUUGUAAAGGAUGCUGGAGGUAUCAGAAGUGCGAAUGCUGACAUGAGUAGCGAUAAUGCGGGUGAAAAGCCCGCACGCCGUAAGCCCAAGGUUUCCUGUUCAACGUUCAUCGGAGCAGGGUGAGUCGGCCCCUAAGGCGAGGCAGAGAUGCGUAGCUGAUGGGAAGCAGGUUAAUAUUCCUGCACCGUCGUAUGAUGCGAUGGGGGGACGGAUCGCGGAAGGUUGUC